GAAUGCAAGCGUGAUGUAGCUGCAACAUCUGUCACCCCACUGAUCACCAGGGUUGAUCUGGCCGUUCUGGCUGGCAGGGCAGGUGUACCCUUCCCCCCUCACUGCUCCUUGUGCGUCCCCCCACUCUCAAAGCUGUGCACUUGGUGGAAGAGGACGACCACCCCAAAUAAAGCAGGACCAUUUCCUCCAUCAGGGGUACAGGUAGCUGUGCUCCCCUGCUAGGACCUUCAAAUAAGCUCUCAGGGUACUAUGUUGUGAUACCGUUUGGUGCAUUAACCUGAACACAGGAGGAGCCAUUGGCACUCGUAAUGUGAUCAUCUGCCUUU
This is a non-coding RNA of Fukomys damarensis (Damara mole-rat), 326 nucleotides long. The record is from Rfam. Lineage: Eukaryota; Metazoa; Chordata; Mammalia; Rodentia; Bathyergidae.